GACGAACGCUGGUGGCGUGCUUAACACAUGCAAGUCGAACGGUGAAGCGCCUUCCUUUUUGGUGGGUGUGGAUGAGUGGCGAACGGGUGAGUAACACGUGAGUAACCUGCCCCCUUCUUCUGGAUAACCGCAUGAAAGUGUGGCUAAUACGGGAUAUUCUGGGUCUGUCGCAUGAUGGGUCUGGGAAAGAUAUUGUUUCGGUGGGGGAUGGGCUCGCGGCCUAUCAGCUUGUUGGUGGGGUGAUGGCCUACCAAGGCGGUGACGGGUGGCCGGCCUGAGAGGGUGGACGGUCACACUGGGACUGAGACACGGCCCAGACUCCUACGGGAGGCAGCAGUGGGGAAUAUUGCACAAUGGGCGCAAGCCUGAUGCAGCGACGCCGCGUGAGGGAUGGAGGCCUUCGGGUUGUGAACCUCUUUCGCCAGUGAAGCAGGCCUGCCUCGUUUGUGGGUGGGUUGACGGUAGCUGGAUAAGAAGCGCCGGCUAACUACGUG
Molecule: ribosomal RNA, 494 nt
Filed under: uncultured bacterium
Lineage: Bacteria
Description: partial 16S ribosomal RNA
Rfam family: Bacterial small subunit ribosomal RNA
Source: RNAcentral